RNAcentral lists this ribosomal RNA (461 nucleotides) under Trypethelium sp. Lucking 30515 (F). RNAcentral's name for it is "mitochondrial SSU rRNA". It matches the Rfam family "Bacterial small subunit ribosomal RNA", at positions 346 to 830 of the family's 1533-position model. The record is from RNAcentral. Lineage: Eukaryota; Fungi; Ascomycota; Dothideomycetes; Trypetheliales; Trypetheliaceae.
CAGCAAUUUGUGGGAAUGCCUUUUUAGUUUAAUAAAAAGAGUAUAUUAGGUUUAACUUUAUAUAUUAUUUUUUAUUAAAUUAAUAAUUCAAAACCUUUGAAUGUAAUUCUAGAUAAAAUAUUGAUAAUGACAAAGUUUUAUCUAUAUGUCUUGACCAAAUCUUGUGCCAGCAGUCGCGGCAACACAAGGAAGACAAGUGUUAUUCAUCUUAAAUCGGUUUAAAGGGUACCUAGACGGUAAAUUAGGCCUUAAAUGGAACGUUUUUACUAGAGUUAUAUAUGCAUGAGGAAUAGAGUAUUACCAGAGUAGAGAUGAAAUUUUUUGAUACUGUUAAGACUGGUAAAGGCAAAAGCAAACCUUUAUAUAUUAACUGACGUUGAGGGACGAAGGCUUGGGGAGCAAACAGGAUUAGAUACCCUAAUAGUCCAGGCAGAGAAUUAUGAAUGUCAUAGAAUAGAUAA